Molecule: unclassified non-coding RNA, 237 nt
Filed under: uncultured Helotiales
Lineage: Eukaryota; Fungi; Ascomycota; Leotiomycetes; Helotiales
Description: sequence contains 5.8S rRNA gene
Rfam family: 5.8S ribosomal RNA (bases 1-53)
Source: RNAcentral
GAACGCACAUUGCGCCCCUUGGUAUUCCGGGGGGCAUGCCUGUUCGAGCGUCAUUAUAACCCUCAAGCCUAGCUUGGUAUUGGAGCAUGCUAUUUAGCAGCUCUUAAAAUCAGUGGCAGUGCCCUCUGGCUCUAAGCGUAGUAAUUCUCUCGCUAUGGAGUCCAGUUGGCCCGCGCCAGAACCCCCAAUUUUCUAUGGUUGACCUCGGAUCAGGUAGGGAUACCCGCUGAACUUAAG